This 106-nucleotide ribosomal RNA is filed under the name Brugia pahangi. RNAcentral's name for it is "5.8S ribosomal RNA". It matches the Rfam family "5.8S ribosomal RNA", at positions 51 to 154 of the family's 154-position model. From Rfam's summary of the family: 5.8S ribosomal RNA (5.8S rRNA) is a component of the large subunit of the eukaryotic ribosome. The record is from RNAcentral. Lineage: Eukaryota; Metazoa; Nematoda; Chromadorea; Rhabditida; Onchocercidae.
AGCUGCGAUAAAUAGUGCGAAUUGCAGACGCAUUGAGCACAAAAAUUUCGAAUGCACAUUGCACCAUUGGGUUGAUUCCCGAUGGUACGUCUGGUUGAGGGUCAAU